AAGCCAUGCAUGUCUAAGUAUAAGCAAUUAUACAGCGAAACUGCGAAUGGCUCAUUAUAUAAGUUAUCGUUUAUUUGAUAGUGCCUUACUACUUGGAUAACCGUGGUAAUUCUAGAGCUAAUACAUGCUAAAAAUCCCGACUUCGGAAGGGAUGUAUUUAUUAGAUUAAAAACCAAUGCCCUCUGGGCUCUCUGGUGAUUCAUGAUAACUCGUCGAAUCGCACGGCCUUGCGCCGGCGAUGGUUCAUUCAAAUUUCUUCCCUAUCAACUUUCGAUGUUUGGGUAGUGGCCAAACAUGGUUGCAACGGGUAACGGAGGGUUAGGGCUCGACCCCGGAGAAGGAGCCUGAGAAACGGCUACUACAUCCAAGGAAGGCAGCAGGCGCGCAAAUUACCCAAUCCCGACACGGGGAGGUAGUGACAAUAAAUACUGAUACAGGGCUCUUUUGGGUCUUGUAAUUGGAAUGAGUACAAUUUAAAUCCCUUAACGAGGAACAAUUGGAGGGCAAGUCUGGUGCCAGCAGCCGCGGUAAUUCCAGCUCCAAUAGCGUAUAUUAAAGUUGUUGUGGUUAAAAAGCUCGUAGUUGAACCUUGGGCCUGGCUGGCCGGUCCGCCUCACCGCGUGUACUGGUCCGGCCGGGCCUUUCCCUCUGUGGAACCCCAUGCCCUUCACUGGGUGUGGCGGGGAAACAGGACUUUUACUUUGAAAAAAUUAGAGUGCUCCAGGCAGGCCUAUGCUCGAAUACAUUAGCAUGGAAUAAUGAAAUAGGACGUGCGGUUCUAUUUUGUUGGUUUCUAGGACCGCCGUAAUGAUUAAUAGGGACAGUCGGGGGCAUCAGUAUUCAAUUGUCAGAGUGAAAUUCUUGGAUUUAUUGAAGACUAACUACUGCGAAAGCAUUUGCCAAGGAUGUUUCAUUAAUCAGGAACGAAAGUUAGGGAUCGAGACGAUCAGAUACCGUCGUAGUCUACAUAACUAUGCGACUAGGGAUCGGAC
This 992-nucleotide ribosomal RNA is filed under the name uncultured Ascomycota. Its description in RNAcentral is "SSU rRNA". It matches the Rfam family "Eukaryotic small subunit ribosomal RNA", at positions 46 to 1058 of the family's 1831-position model. The record is from RNAcentral. Lineage: Eukaryota; Fungi; Ascomycota.